RNAcentral lists this ribosomal RNA (451 nucleotides) under uncultured bacterium. RNAcentral's name for it is "bacterial SSU rRNA". It matches the Rfam family "Bacterial small subunit ribosomal RNA", at positions 29 to 524 of the family's 1533-position model. The record is from RNAcentral.
AACGAACGCUGGCGGCAGGCUUAACACAUGCAAGUCGAACGGGUGUAGCAAUACAUCAGUGGCAGACGGGUGAGUAACACGUGGGAACCUUCCUAGGGGUACGGAACAACUCAGGGAAACUUGAGCUAAUACCGUAUACGUCCGUGAGGAGAAAGAUUUAUCGCCCUUAGACGGGCCCGCGUCGGAUUAGCUAGUUGGUGGGGUAACGGCCUACCAAGGCGACGAUCCGUAGCUGAUCUUAGAGGAUGAUCAGCCACACUGGGACUGAGACACGGCCCAGACUCCUACGGGAGGCAGCAGUGGGGAAUCUUGGAUAAUGGGCGCAAGCCUGAUCCAGCCAUGCCGCGUGAGUGAAGAAGGUCUUCGGAUUGUAAAGCUCUUUUGCCAGGGACGAUAAUGACGGUACCUGGAGAAUAAGCCCGGCAAACUUCGUGCCAGCAGCCGCGGUAAU